UGGGGAAUAUUGCACAAUGGGCGCAAGCCUGAUGCAGCCAUGCCGCGUGUGUGAAGAAGGCCUUCGGGUUGUAAAGCACUUUCAGCGAGGAGGAAGGUGGUGAACUUAAUACGUUCAUCAAUUGACGUUACUCGCAGAAGAAGCACCGGCUAACUCCGUGCCAGCAGCCGCGGUAAUACGGAGGGUGCAAGCGUUAAUCGGAAUUACUGGGCGUAAAGCGCACGCAGGCGGUUUGUUAAGUCAGAUGUGAAAUCCCCGGGCUCAACCUGGGAACUGCAUUUGAAACUGGCAAGCUAGAGUCUCGUAGAGGGGGGUAGAAUUCCAGGUGUAGCGGUGAAAUGCGUAGAGAUCUGGAGGAAUACCGGUGGCGAAGGCGGCCCCCUGGACGAAGACUGACGCUCAGGUGCGAAAAGCGUGGGGAGCAAAACAGGAUUAGAUACCCUGGUAGUCCACGCUGUAAAACGAUGUCG
RNAcentral lists this ribosomal RNA (470 nucleotides) under uncultured bacterium. RNAcentral's name for it is "partial 16S ribosomal RNA". It matches the Rfam family "Bacterial small subunit ribosomal RNA", at positions 355 to 814 of the family's 1533-position model. The record is from RNAcentral.